AUUGAACGCUGGCGGCAGGCCUAACACAUGCAAGUCGAACGCGUGGCGGACGGGUGAGUAAUGUCUGGGAAACUGCCGGCUGGAGGGGGAUAACUACUGGAAACGGUAGAUAAUACCGCAUACCAUCGGCAGUGCCCAGAUGGGAUUCGCUGGUUGGUGGGGUAAAGGCUCACCAAGGCGACGAUCCCUAGCUGGUCUGAGAGGAUGACCAGCCACACUGGAACUGAGACACGGUCCAGACUCCUACGGGAGGCAGCAGGGGGUAAUAUUGCACAAUGGGCGCAAGCCUGAUGCAGCCAUGCCGCGUGUAUGAAGAAGGCCUUCGGGUUGUAAAGUACUUUCAGCGGGGAGGCGUUACCCGCAGAAGAAGCACCGGCUAACUCCGUGCCAGCAGCCGCGGUAAUAC
This 406-nucleotide ribosomal RNA is filed under the name uncultured bacterium. RNAcentral describes it as "partial 16S ribosomal RNA". It matches the Rfam family "Bacterial small subunit ribosomal RNA", at positions 30 to 526 of the family's 1533-position model. The record is from RNAcentral.